GGGGUUGUGACUCAGCGGUAGGGUGCUCUCCUAGCAUGUGUGAGACCCUGGGUUCUAUCCACAGCACCACA
RNAcentral lists this transfer RNA (71 nucleotides) under Marmota monax (woodchuck). RNAcentral's name for it is "tRNA.Ala". The record is from RNAcentral. Lineage: Eukaryota; Metazoa; Chordata; Mammalia; Rodentia; Sciuridae.